GAUGAACGCUGGCGGCGUGCUUAACACAUGCAAGUCGAACGAUGAUGCCCAGCUUGCUGGGUGGAUUAGUGGCGAACGGGUGAGUAACACGUGAGUAACCUGCCCUUGACUCUGGGAUAAGCCUGGGAAACUGGGUCUAAUACCGGAUACGACCAUCUGGCGCAUGUCAUGGUGGUGGAAAGCUUUUGUGGUUUUGGAUGGACUCGCGGCCUAUCAGCUUGUUGGUGGGGUAAUGGCCUACCAAGGCGACGACGGGUAGCCGGCCUGAGAGGGUGACCGGCCACACUGGGACUGAGACACGGCCCAGACUCCUACGGGAGGCAGCAGUGGGGAAUAUUGCACAAUGGGCGCAAGCCUGAUGCAGCGACGCCGCGUAAGGGAUGACGGCCUUCGGGUUGUAAACCUCUUUCAGUAGGGAAGAAGCGAAAGUGACGGUACCUGCAGAAGAAGCGCCGGCUAACUACGUG
This 467-nucleotide ribosomal RNA is filed under the name uncultured bacterium. RNAcentral describes it as "partial 16S ribosomal RNA". It matches the Rfam family "Bacterial small subunit ribosomal RNA", at positions 28 to 507 of the family's 1533-position model. The record is from RNAcentral.